This 494-nucleotide ribosomal RNA is filed under the name uncultured bacterium. RNAcentral describes it as "partial 16S ribosomal RNA". It matches the Rfam family "Bacterial small subunit ribosomal RNA", at positions 28 to 507 of the family's 1533-position model. The record is from RNAcentral.
GACGAACGCUGGCGGCGUGCUUAACACAUGCAAGUCGAACGGUGAAGCGCCUUCCUUUUUGGUGUGUGGGUAGGGGUGGCGAGCGGGUUAGUAACACGUGAGUAACCUUCUCCCUCCUGCUGGAUAACCGCAUGAAAGUGUUGCUAAUACGGGAUAUUCUGGGCCUGUCGCAUGAUGGGUCUGGGAGAGUUAUUGUUUCGGUGUGGGAUGGGCUCGCGGCCUAUCAGCUUGUUGGUGGGGUGAUGGCCUACCAAGGCGGUGACGGGUAGCCGGCCUGGGAGGGUCGACGGCCCUGGAAGGGAGGAGAGGUCGAGACGACUACGGGGGGCAGCAGUAGGGAAGAUUAGUGCACAGGGGGAGGCCGGAUGAUGCAGCGCCGCGGGGUGGGGGAUGGACUCCGGAGGGUUGUGAACUUUUUUCGGGAGAGAAGAAGGGCGGACUCGUUUGUGGGUGUGUUGACGGUAGCUGAAUAAGAAGCGCCGGCUAACUACGUG